UCUAGCUCUCCAUCUCCAUCUCCACUCACGGUGUAAUUCGUUCCUUUUCCUUGUAACCUUUUUGGUUUCCUUGUUUGAUUUCGUAUGAACUUGUUUCUAGUUAACAAUAAUGUUUAGGGCAAAAAAACUUUUAUAUGUUUAUCUUAUUUGGGUCGACACUUAUAGGAUUUGCAUGUAAUUGGUGCUAGGUUUAAGAACAUGAAAUCGACUUUUCGUUUUGUGUAACUUGAAUCAAAAGUAGUAAAGGUUCUGGACAAGAAUCGAAUUUAAUUGAAGAGGAUUGCAAUUAGGUGGACUUUUCCAUACUAAGUUGUACACUUGAGUUGAUAGCCUUUCUCUAUGUCUAAUGCGUUGAACAUGUCAUGAUUGACUAGCUUUCUAGGGCUUGAUUGCAUGUUUGAUAGGAUUAAUCUAGGUGCUUUCGCUUAGGUUAAUUAGCAUUGAAAAGUAAAAUAUGGGAAAUCAUUUGCUUUCGAAUGUUUCACAUGAUCAACUCCUCUCUCAUGACAUUUAAAAUCAACUAUAGGAAUUGUAAUUGGAUUUCUUACAUAUGGAUGUGGUUUUGAUCUUUGUUCCUU
Molecule: long non-coding RNA, 578 nt
Filed under: Rosa chinensis
Lineage: Eukaryota; Viridiplantae; Streptophyta; Magnoliopsida; Rosales; Rosaceae
Description: sRNA RchiOBHm_Chr3g0460631
Source: RNAcentral